This 1521-nucleotide long non-coding RNA is filed under the name Mustela putorius furo (domestic ferret). RNAcentral's name for it is "lncRNA (ENSMPUG00000024027.1)". Lineage: Eukaryota; Metazoa; Chordata; Mammalia; Carnivora; Mustelidae. The record is from RNAcentral.
AAACUAAAUCAUCACCCAAGGUCCUAAUAUAAAAUAUUCUUUAUUUUACAUUCUAGCCUUUCCAAACUACUUUCAGACAGAUUUCAUGUACUCUUUCCAAGUCCCUUAUGAUGGGAGUCACUGCUUUUGAAUUUAUCUUUGUGUAAGUGUGGGAUUCCAUGCAGUGGGUUUGUUUAAACUAAAAUAUGGGCUGGCAGCAUAUCUCUCCUGGGUUUCCCUCUGGCUUCUUGCACAUUUCUCUGUACAGUAUAUCAGAAAAAGCCAGACUGGGAGAGAUGGCUCUCUCUUCCAACGAAGCAUUUAUAAAUCAAUUAAUCAAUCAAUAUACAUAUAUGAUAUAUAGAGAUACACAUCUAUAUAUAUCAUGGAUUAUUAUCUAAGACUCAUCAACAACCUUUUUACAAAAGAUGUAAAACAUUCAUAUAAUGGAAGCUACCAUUCACCGAGAGCUUCUGUUAGUCUGAUGCAGUGCUAAGUUCUGUAUACAUUUUUUAUUUUCAGGUAACUUCACAACACCCUAUGACGAGGUAUUAUUAUUUCCACUUGACGGUGGAGGAAAUGGAAACUGAAAGUAGUUAAGUAACUAUCCCAUGAUUCGAGUGCACACAAGUGUUGGAAUUGGGCUGUAAAUCUAAGUCUCCCAAGUUCCAACGCCUUUUUGGAUGUGACAAUCACUGUAGAAGUAAGAAGCACUAAGUCACGGAGCCAUCAUUAGAAGGCAGACCAUAGGAACUAAAGUCACACAGUCACUGGAUGGCAGUUUUCCCUGGAACUGGACUUGAUCCUUGGAAAGAGAUUCUUAGACUGCCAGUGAGCAAAACCCCUUCGUCUUACCUACAGUGGAUACGAGGUGGAGCAAUAUGCCGAGAUGGAGGAGAAGGGGGAAGAAAGAUACUUCUAGUCAGGAUGCAUCAGCUCCAUAAUUGGCUGGGCCCAGUACAACACAGAAACACGAGGCCUCUUGUUCAAAACUUAGGAAUUUCAAGAUGGCAGCAAUGGAGCAUUAAUCCAGAUGCAGGGUCUAGUGUACCUGCAUAGGUCGGACGCCUAUGAAGCCAGCCUAGCUCCUGAUCCAAUGCCCUUUAUGACGCCCUGACUUCCCCCUUGUUCUUCUUCCCAUUCCCAGCCUCCAUUAGGUAGUAAGUGAUAGAAAAAUAAAUGACAAUAUGGGUUUGAAAGACUAUGAUGAGAUUCUUAAGAAGAAACUAUUCAACUCCUAGAAAGAAAGCCAAGAAAGAAUAGGAGUUGAAGACCAUUUCCUCUCUUUCUAACCCAGUGUGCUCUUCACUUCCAAAAAACUGCUGUGUGUGCAGAAAAACAGCUCAGGAUAUGGAAUUCAGGGGGUUAGUAUUUUUUCGUUAAAAAAAAAUCACAAGUAGGGUUUUCUGAGUAAAAGUCAAUAAACUGUAGUAGGUGGGCAAGAGGAACUGUCCCUGACCUCAAGAAACAGCUUAGGACAAUCCAUACGUCUUCGUUCUUGAGUGAGUUACACAGAAAGACCAUGCAGAUCCAACAAGAUAA